This 336-nucleotide unclassified non-coding RNA is filed under the name soil metagenome. Its description in RNAcentral is "partial contains 5.8S ribosomal RNA, internal transcribed spacer 2, and large subunit ribosomal RNA". The stretch from base 1 to 120 matches the Rfam family "5.8S ribosomal RNA", at positions 35 to 154 of the family's 154-position model. The record is from RNAcentral.
GAUGAAGAACGCAGCGAAAUGCGAUAAGUAAUGUGAAUUGCAGAAUUCAGUGAAUCAUCGAAUCUUUGAACGCACAUUGCGCCCGCCAGUAUUCUGGCGGGCAUGCCUGUUCGAGCGUCAUUUCAACCAUCAAGCCCCCGGCUUGUGUUGGGGACCUGCGGCUGCCGCAGGCCCUGAAAAGCAGUGGCGGGCUCGCUGUCACACCGAGCGUAGUAGCAUACAUCUCGCUCUGGGCGUGCUGCGGGUUCCGGCCGUUACACCACCUUCAUAACACAAGGUUGACCUCGGAUCAGGUAGGAAGACCCGCUGAACUUAAGCAUAUCAAUAAGCGGAGGA